UACGGGGGGGGCAAGCGUUGUUCGGAUUUACUGGGCGUAAAGGGUGCGUAGGCGGCACCACAAGUCACUUGUGAAAUCUCCAAGCUCAACUUGGAACGGUCAAGUGAUACUGUGGAGCUAGAGUGCAGAAGGGGCAACCGGAAUUCUCGGUGUAGCGGUGAAAUGCGUAGAUAUCGAGAGGAACACCUGCGGCGAAGGCGGGUUGCUGGGCUGACACUGACGCUGAGGCACGAAAGCUAGGGUAGCAAACGGG
RNAcentral lists this ribosomal RNA (253 nucleotides) under uncultured prokaryote. Its description in RNAcentral is "partial 16S ribosomal RNA". It matches the Rfam family "Bacterial small subunit ribosomal RNA", at positions 524 to 776 of the family's 1533-position model. The record is from RNAcentral.